Molecule: ribosomal RNA, 468 nt
Filed under: uncultured bacterium
Lineage: Bacteria
Description: partial 16S ribosomal RNA
Rfam family: Bacterial small subunit ribosomal RNA
Source: RNAcentral
GACGAACGCUGGCGGCGUGCUUAACACAUGCAAGUCGAACGGAAAGGCCCUGCUUUUGUGGGGUGCUCGAGUGGCGCACGGGUGAGUAACACGUGAGUAACCUGCCCUUGACUUUGGGAUAACUUCAGGAAACUGGGGCUAAUACCGGAUAGGAGCUACUGCUGCAUGGUGGGGGUUGGAAAGUUUCGGCGGUUGGGGAUGGACUCGCGGCUUAUCAGCUUGUUGGUGGGGUAGUGGCUUACCAAGGCUUUGACGGGUAGCCGGCCUGAGAGGGUGACCGGCCACAUUGGGACUGAGAUACGGCCCAGACUCCUACGGGAGGCAGCAGUGGGGAAUAUUGCACAAUGGGCGGAAGCCUGAUGCAGCAACGCCGCGUGCGGGAUGACGGCCUUCGGGUUGUAAACCGCUUUCGCCUGUGACGAAGCGUGAGUGACGGUAAUGGGUAAAGAAGCACCGGCUAACUACGUG